ACUUAAAUUGAAGAGUUUGAUCAUGGCUCAGAUUGAACGCUGGCGGCAGGCCUAACACAUGCAAGUCGAGCGGUAGCACAGAGAGCUUGCUCUCGGGUGACGAGCGGCGGACGGGUGAGUAAUGUCUGGGAAACUGCCUGAUGGAGGGGGAUAACUACUGGAAACGGUAGCUAAUACCGCAUAACGUCGCAAGACCAAAGUGGGGGACCUUCGGGCCUCAUGCCAUCAGAUGUGCCCAGAUGGGAUUAGCUAGUAGGUGGGGUAACGGCUCACCUAGGCGACGAUCCCUAGCUGGUCUGAGAGGAUGACNNNNNNNNNNNNNNNNNNNNGGGAGUACGGCCGCAAGGUUAAAACUCAAAUGAAUUGACGGGGGCCCGCACAAGCGGUGGAGCAUGUGGUUUAAUUCGAUGCAACGCGAAGAACCUUACCUGGUCUUGACAUCCACAGAACUUAGCAGAGAUGCUUUGGUGCCUUCGGGAACUGUGAGACAGGUGCUGCAUGGCUGUCGUCAGCUCGUGUUGUGAAAUGUUGGGUUAAGUCCCGCAACGAGCGCAACCCUUAUCCUUUGUUGCCAGCGGUUAGGCCGGGAACUCAAAGGAGACUGCCAGUGAUAAACUGGAGGAAGGUGGGGAUGACGUCAAGUCAUCAUGGCCCUUACGACCAGGGCUACACACGUGCUACAAUGGCAUAUACAAAGAGAAGCGACCUCGCGAGAGCAAGCGGACCUCAUAAAGUAUGUCGUAGUCCGGAUUGGAGUCUGCAACUCGACUCCAUGAAGUCGGAAUCGCUAGUAAUCGUAGAUCAGAAUGCUACGGUGAAUACGUUCCCGGGCCUUGUACACACCGCCCGUCACACCAUGGGAGUGGGUUGCAAAAGAAGUAGGUAGCUUAACCUUCGGGAGGGCGCUUACCACUUUGUGAUUCAUGACUGGGGUGAAGUCGUAACAAGGUAACCGUAGGGGAACCUGCGGUUGGAUCACCUCCUUACCUUAAAGAACCUGCCUUUGUAGUGUCCACACAGAUUGUUUGAUAAAUAAUAAAUUUCAAAAUGUACUGCGAAGUGCAUUGUGAAAUUUUGCUCUUUAAAAAUCUGGAUCAAGCUGAAAAUUGAAACGACACACAGUUAAUGUGUGUUCGAGUCUGCAACUCGACUCCAUGAAGUCGGAAUCGCUAGUAAUCGUAGAUCAGAAUGCUACGGUGAAUACGUUCCCGGGCCUUGUACACACCGCCCGUCACACCAUGGGAGUGGGUUGCAAAAGAAGUAGGUAGCUUAACCUUCGGGAGGGCGCUUACCACUUUGUGAUUCAUGACUGGGGUGAAGUCGUAACAAGGUAACCGUAGGGGAACCUGCGGUUGGAUCACCUCCUUACCUUAAAGAA
RNAcentral lists this ribosomal RNA (1378 nucleotides) under Klebsiella pneumoniae. RNAcentral describes it as "bacterial SSU rRNA". The stretch from base 5 to 986 matches the Rfam family "Bacterial small subunit ribosomal RNA". Lineage: Bacteria; Pseudomonadati; Pseudomonadota; Gammaproteobacteria; Enterobacterales; Enterobacteriaceae. The record is from RNAcentral.